This 253-nucleotide ribosomal RNA is filed under the name uncultured bacterium. Its description in RNAcentral is "partial 16S ribosomal RNA". It matches the Rfam family "Bacterial small subunit ribosomal RNA", at positions 524 to 776 of the family's 1533-position model. The record is from RNAcentral.
UACGUAGGUGACCAGCGUUGUCCGGAUUUACUGGGCGUAAAGAGCGCGCAGGCGGUCGUUCAAGUCGAGUGUGAAAGCCCCCGGCUCAACUGGGGAGGGUCAUUCGAUACUGAUCGACUGGAAGGCAGGAGAGGGAAGUGGAAUUCCCGGUGUAGUGGUGAAAUGCGUAGAUAUCGGGAGGAACACCAGUGGCGAAGGCGACUUCCUGGCCUGUUCUUGACGCUGAGGCGCGAAAGCUAGGGUAGCAAACGGG